Molecule: ribosomal RNA, 460 nt
Filed under: uncultured bacterium
Lineage: Bacteria
Description: partial 16S ribosomal RNA
Rfam family: Bacterial small subunit ribosomal RNA
Source: RNAcentral
CCUACGGGAGGCAGCAGUGAGGAAUAUUGGUCAAUGGGCGGGAGCCUGAACCAGCCAAGUCGCGUGAGGGAAGACGGUCCUAUGGAUUGUAAACCUCUUUAGGCGGGGAGCAAUGCCGGGCACGCGUGCCCGGAGGGAGAGUACCCGCAGAAUAAGCAUCGGCUAACUCCGUGCCAGCAGCCGCGGUACUACGGAGGAUGCGAGCGGUAUCCGGAUUUAUUGGGUUUAAAGGGUGCGUAGGCGGAUUUUUAAGUCAGCGGUAAAAUGUCCGGGCUCAACCCGGGCCGGCCGUUGAAACUGGGGAGCUUGAGUGGGCGAGAAGUAUGCGGAAGGCGUGGUGUAGCGGUGAAAUGCAUAGAUAUCACGCAGAACUCCGAUUGCGAAGGCAGCAUACCGGCGCCCGACUGACGCUGAGGCACGAAAGCGUGGGGAUCGAACAGGAUUAGAUACCCGAGUAGUC